Molecule: ribosomal RNA, 208 nt
Filed under: uncultured bacterium
Lineage: Bacteria
Description: partial 16S ribosomal RNA
Rfam family: Bacterial small subunit ribosomal RNA
Source: RNAcentral
CGCGCAGGCGGUCGUUCAAGUCGAGUGUGAAAGCCCCCGGCUCAACUGGGGAGGGUCACUCGAUACUGAUCGACUCGAAGGCAGGAGAGGGAAGUGGAAUUCCCGGUGUAGUGGUGAAAUGCGUAGAUAUCGGGAGGAACACCAGUGGCGAAGGCGACUUCCUGGCCUGUUCUUGACGCUGAGGCGCGAAAGCUAGGGGAAGCAAACG